UGCAGCAGGAAGGCGCCGCGGUGGAUAUCCUGGAGUCCGGUGAACCCUGGUAGGAGAUAUUAUUCCUACGUAGAUUCUCAGGUGUCAUGAACUGAACAGCAUGGCUUCAUCGACUGGCAUGACACCCCCACGACUCCAUUUCUUCGUCAAUUGCUAGGAGACCUACGGGAUAAAGUGUGGAGGCUGGAUGAUGAGCUUGCUGACUAG
RNAcentral lists this ribosomal RNA (207 nucleotides) under Triticum aestivum (bread wheat). Its description in RNAcentral is "partial small subunit ribosomal RNA". The record is from RNAcentral. Lineage: Eukaryota; Viridiplantae; Streptophyta; Magnoliopsida; Poales; Poaceae.